GCAUUUUCCUUUAAUGCGGGCUGGAAAGAGGUGGCGUAGUUUUUCUGCCCUGAAAAGCAAAUACCAUUUGUUCACUAGAACAGACGCAGGCAUCCUGUCGCCUCUCCCGUGUGCUGCCUUCCUUCCCUCGCUGGGUACUUCCGGGUGGUCACUCCUCAGCAUGGAGGGGCGGGAGGGGCCGCACAGGGCCUUGUGCCCCAGUCACAGGGAGGGCCCACGGAGAGGUGUGCAAGGGAACAUGUCCUCAAAUGCAAAAGCAGCCGUGGGCUUGCUAGGGCUUGGGUUUGAAGUAUCCCCUGAAACUUCCUGUGGGAGGACUUGGUUGGCUGUUGAUGGUCUUCGCGGAAGUGACAAGGUCACGAGGGCUCCAACUUCCCCAAGUGGAUGGAUCCUUUGAGGAGACCGCAGCUUGAGGGCGCAAUGGGAGCUGAUGGGAACAGGCUGUGCCCAGUGGAAGGAAGUAGGUCGCGAGGAGGUGACCUUGGGGGCUUUACCUAGUCCCAGCCCCUCCUCUCUGGCUCCUUCCUCCGCGUGUUUUCUUCCCAGCUGCUAUGAGGGUGCACAGAGUUUAAGUGACUUAGUAGCUGCCGUAGGUUCUCAAGCAGGAAAUCCAGGAAAUGGUGUUGUGGGCAGCACGUUCUACCGUGUCCUGGGCGCUGGAGCUCGGAGACUCCGGGGCAGGAGCUGGGUCAGAGCAUCAAAGGCAAAAUACACGAGACUUUGACCAGCCAGAAUAUGAAGAAAAGACAGAAACUAAGAUAGACAGGGUCUUGAAUGUAUGCCGUGGACCUGUUUUCCACUCUGCAAAAUGUGAUCCUCAGCCUUUGUGUUGGACAGCUUCCUGUCACUGUGAUAAAAUACCCAACAUAGACAACUCGAAGACAGAAAGAUUUAUCUUGGCUCCUGGUUUUGGAUGUUUCAGUCCAUGGUACGUGGGUCUAUUGCUUCAGGCCUGUGGAGGAGCAGAACCAUCACGGCAGAAGGGUGUAGCCGAGGAAAGGACAUGGGGGCACAGGGUAUGGCAGUCAGGAGGCAGGGUGAGAGAGCCAGAGGAGGAGGGGCUGGGACUGGACAUAGUCCUGGAGGCCACACCCCACAAGCCACUUCUUUCAACUAGUCCCGCCUCCUGUCUUCAUCACCUCCCAAUAAUGCCAUCAGAUUGUGAUGUCACUGAUGACUUAGUCCACUGAUGAAAUUGGAGGCUUUGUGAUCCAAUCACCUUCCAAAAGCCCAUCAGCACUCAAGCCUGCAACACAACGAACCUCUUGGAUCCUAAGCAAAGCAGCCUUUAAACCGGGAUGGAAAUUUUUAACAAUUAGAAUCAACUAGUAGUCUGACACCAUAUCAGGACAAAAUAAGGUCACGCAGCCCACCACGUAGCUCGUCUGUUAGGUCACGCAGCCUUGGCUGACUGCAUCCGGCUGCAAACCAGAGAAAACCUGACGCAGCUCAGUUCAACGGCACCCAGCAGCACAGCCUGUACUUUUAGUCCCGAACAUACCCUGUUUGCUGACUUGUUUCAAGGACUUUCUGCUCAGCAACGAAGGAUAACGGAUGCUGCCCAAUAAAAAUUCACCACGCUUUUAAGCCUUUGUACUUCCUGCUUGCAAAACCUAUGUAAACUAAGCCCAAAGCCGGCUCUGGGCUGAUGCUUUGGGAGUGAUUUCCCAUCAGCCUGCUGCUGGCGUAAGAAAGUUGGUUGCCUUCCAACUCCUUGGUGCAGAGCGUUUUCCACCGUGAGGUACCGGCUCCACAACAAAACCACGUGGCUCCCGGCUGCCUCUCCAGUCUCCCUCUCUGCCUCUCUUCCCUCAUGGGCUCCGUUUCAGCCACACUGGCCUUGACAUUCCUUAGACUUCAAGCGUUUAUCCCUGCCGCCUUUGCUCUUCCUGCUCCCAUUGCACGGUGCAGCUUGUGCACCGAGACGGGGCUUUGUCUGAGCGCCUCCUCCUCAGUGGGGUGCUCUUCCCUCCCACCCUAAAAUCGCUCCCCUUUCACAGCCAGUCUACCCUUUAUUUCCACCAUGGUGCUUAUUUAUCACUCGGUGUGAGUGGACUUAGCAGUUUGUCUUCUGUCUGCACCCAUAGAAUAUAAGGCCCAGAGAGCUUUGUUUGGGUCCUUCUUUCAUCCUUGAGACGCCUUACGAAUUCCAUGAGCAGAUUUUUUAUUUUGUUUUGUUGCAGUAUAGUGGGUUGGACCAAAUGAGCACUGAGCUACAUCCCCGGCGCUUUUUAUUUUUUAAUUUUGAGACAGGGUCUCACUAAUUUGCCAAGGCUAGCCUUGAACCAGGUAGAGUCCUCAAGGUCACACUCCAUGAUCCAUUCCCUUCAACUAAUCCUUACUUCCUGUUUCCAUCACCUCCAAUGAAGAUCCUCUUGCCUCAGCCUCCCAAACAGCUAGGAAUACAGCCGUGUACCACCAGGCCUAGCUCAAUGAGCAAUUUUUGGUCUCAGUGAGUAAAAUGUGGCCAUAUGGCAAAGUUACCAAAGAAAAGCUUCUGAGAGUGAGGAGUAGGGGCUCUGAAGAGGAGGGAGCCUUGAGAAUCUGACAAUACUGCUUAGAGUUGGGAAGAGUAAGCCACUUGGGGAGUGUCUGCCGCCAGGUGUGUAUCCUCCGAUGUGGGAAAGACCGGAAUGUGUUUGUAUUUUACUUAUUUAUUUAUUAGUGCUUGGGCAUGAACUCAGAGCCUUGCACAUGCUAGGUUAGUGCUGGGCCACUGAGCCACUCCCCUAUCCCUGGGUUUGAAUUGGACGAUCCUUUAGACUUUUUUUUUGGUACCGGGAAUCAAACUCAGGACCUCGCCUUGCAAGGCGGGUGCUUGUGCCGCUGAGCUAUAUCCCCAGCCCAAGACUUUUUCUUAUUGUAGAAUUUUAUGAAUUUUCAUAGGCCAGGCUGCCUUUUUCUUGCUAAAACAAUUUUUAAAAAAUUUUUGGUCUACUAAUAUAGUUUUUCUAUGUGAAUACACCUCCAAAGUUUUCAAUGUGACAGUGGGGCCCAACUGUUCAAAAGCAUGCCCGUUUUCUGAAACAUAGUCUGGAAUCUGUAAGAUUGAGAUGAGAAAGAUUUUGGUUUCAUGGAAACUAUGUGCCAUUCUCUGAGUGCAUCUGAGGAAUGAUGGAAAUCUACCUGAUUUUUCUUUUUUCCAUAUCCGACGUGCUUACCACCCUCAGAAAUAACUGCUGAUGUUGCUUUCUGAGCAUCUUUUUAGAUAAUACGUGGCGUCCAUCCCAAGGAGAAUGACUUAGCACUCGACAGCUGAGAAAGGAAAUGAAGGCUCCUGUUGUAAGGACGGCAGCAUUCUAGGCAGUCAGUCAGGACUCUAUGUGUAUGGACAGACAGACAACAUAGUGAACAAGACUCUGGUAUGCUUUUCCUGCGAGGGAGACAGAAGCUUUCUGUUUUUGAAGAGAACAAUAUCCAGGAGUGGUCGCGCACACCUGUAAUCCCAGCACUCAGGAAGCUGAGGCAGGAGGAUCGUUUCGAGUUUGAGGCCAGCCUGAGAAACAAAGUGAGCUGAAGGCCAGCCUGAACUGCACAGUGAGACCCUGUCUCAAAAAGAAAAAAAAAAAAAAAGACAAGAGUAGAUGGGUAGUAUUAGCACAGAAUCCAGAGGACACUGAACACAGAUGUCUGUGUGGUUUUAUGAAUUUAAAGAAAACAAAUUACAGUGUUUAUAGCAGAGUCUGUAUUUCUUAGUUGGAGAAAAGGGACGCAAUGUGAGCGCAGAGCAAGCCCAGGCAGCUUCCAGCUCUGUCUCCAGCACGGCCUUCGCCUGUCCUCACACAGCUACGAGCGUGUCUUCAGAAUCUGGGCCUCUUUCCCUGGUUAUGUGCUGAGAUUUUUUUUUUUUUUGGAGACAUGCAGUUCAGGCUGGCCUUGAACUCACUUUGUAGGCCAGGC
Long non-coding RNA from Chinchilla lanigera (long-tailed chinchilla), 3900 nucleotides. The record is from Ensembl. Lineage: Eukaryota; Metazoa; Chordata; Mammalia; Rodentia; Chinchillidae.